UACGUAGGGGCAAGCGUUGUCCGGAUUUAUUGGGCGUAAAGCGCGUGUAGGCGGCCUUGCAGGUCCGUUGUGAAAACCCGAGGCUCAACUUCGGGACGUCGAUGGAAACCGCAAGGCUAGAGUCCGGAAGAGGAGAGUGGAAUUCCCGGUGUAGCGGUGAAAUGCGCAGAUAUCGGGAAGAACACCCGUGGCGAAGGCGGCUCUCUGGGGCUGUCCUGACGCUGAGGCGCGAAAGCUGGGGGGAGCGAACAGGAUUAGAAACCCCUAGUAGU
This 272-nucleotide ribosomal RNA is filed under the name uncultured bacterium. RNAcentral describes it as "partial 16S ribosomal RNA". It matches the Rfam family "Bacterial small subunit ribosomal RNA", at positions 524 to 794 of the family's 1533-position model. The record is from RNAcentral.